CAUGCAGUCGACGAGUUUUACCUUCGGGUAAGCUAGUGGCGAACGGGUGAGUAACACGUAGAUAACCAACCCUUUUGACGAGGAUAACCCGGGGAAACCUGGACUAAUACUGGAUAGGAGCUAAUUUCAAAAGAGAUUAGUUUUAAAGGCGCCACAAAGCGUCGCGAGAGGAUGGGACUGCGUCGCAUUAGCUAGUUGGUGGGGUAACGGCCUACCAAGGCAACGAUGCGUAGCUGGGCUGAGAGGCCGAACAGCCACACUGGGACUGAGACACGGCCCAGACUCCUACGGGAGGCAGCAGUAGGGAAUUUUCGGCAAUGGGGGGAACCCUGACCGAGCAAUGCCGCGUGAAUGAAGAAGGUCUUCGGACUGUAAAGUUCUGUUAUGGGGAAAGAAAGUGCAUAAUAGGAAAUGAUUAUGUAUUGACGGUACCCGUAUUAGAAAGCCCCGGCUAACUACGUGCCA
RNAcentral lists this ribosomal RNA (465 nucleotides) under uncultured Bacillota bacterium. Its description in RNAcentral is "bacterial SSU rRNA". It matches the Rfam family "Bacterial small subunit ribosomal RNA", at positions 54 to 510 of the family's 1533-position model. Lineage: Bacteria; Bacillati; Bacillota. The record is from RNAcentral.